This 34-nucleotide transfer RNA is filed under the name Salvelinus alpinus (Arctic char). Its description in RNAcentral is "partial tRNA-Phe". Lineage: Eukaryota; Metazoa; Chordata; Actinopteri; Salmoniformes; Salmonidae. The record is from RNAcentral. RNAcentral also lists the same sequence under 2 other names.
GCUGGCGUAGCUUAAUUAAAGCAUAACACUGAAG